CCUACGGGAGGCAGCAGUGGGGAAUAUUGGACAAUGGGCGAAAGCCUGAUCCAGCAACGCCGCGUGAGGGAUGACGGCCUUCGGGUUGUAAACCUCUUUCAGCGGGGACGAAGCGAAAGUGACGGUACCCGCAGAAGAAGCACCGGCCAACUACGUGCCAGCAGCCGCGGUAAUACGUAGGGUGCAAGCGUUGUCCGGAAUUAUUGGGCGUAAAGGGCUCGUAGGCGGUCUGUUACGUCGGGAGUGAAAACUCAGGGCUCAACCCUGAGCGUGCUUCCGAUACGGGCAGACUAGAGGUAUGCAGGGGAGAACGGAAUUCCUGGUGUAGCGGUGGAAUGCGCAGAUAUCAGGAGGAACACCGGUGGCGAAGGCGGUUCUCUGGGCAUUACCUGACGCUGAGGAGCGAAAGCAUGGGGAGCGAACAGGAUUAGAUACCCUGGUAGUCCAUGCCGUAAACGUUGGCGCUAGGUGUGGGGACCUUCCACGGUCUCCGUGCCGCAGCUAACGCAUUAAGCGCCCGCCUGGGGAGUCGGCCGCAAGGCUAAAACUCAAAUGAAUUGACGGCUGAGACGNGCGAGCGACACGAGGAGAG
This 592-nucleotide ribosomal RNA is filed under the name uncultured bacterium. Its description in RNAcentral is "bacterial SSU rRNA". It matches the Rfam family "Bacterial small subunit ribosomal RNA", at positions 338 to 943 of the family's 1533-position model. The record is from RNAcentral.